This 1004-nucleotide unclassified non-coding RNA is filed under the name Hevea brasiliensis (rubber tree). Lineage: Eukaryota; Viridiplantae; Streptophyta; Magnoliopsida; Malpighiales; Euphorbiaceae. The record is from RNAcentral.
CAGCUUCUGAGACUGGUAUCCCUUUCCUGCAAGGGAAGAUUCCAGGUAAAUCCCAGGUUGGGAAGGGUCAACUCAGUGAGUCUUCCCAACCCUCUUCUGCAUCAAUUCAUGGUGGCUCUUCUGGUAGUCGGCCUUCCUCUAACUAUAGUAGCAGGUCACAGCAAGUAAUUGGCCCUCAAAAAGUUGGUUCUACUAAGGAGUGGAAACCAAAGCCAGCAAACCCUAGUGUGCUUCAGGGUUCUGGAACUGGACCAACCGGUUCAUCAGAUGUGCCUAAUAUUCCAGUUGAACCCAGUAUCCAAUCACAGCCUCUAUCAAAUGUCCUUGAUUCAGAAGAAACUACCUCUAAACUGCAGAAGAAGCUAGAGGAGUUGCAUCUUCCACAGCGUCAACAUGUUAUUAUUCCAAACCAUAUUCAUGUCCCUGAAUCUGAAAGAACAAAAUUGAGUUUUGGAAGUUUUGAUGCGAGUUUUGGAGUAAUGGCAAGCUUUGUUAAUGGUCCAGAGAGUGAUAAAAGUUCUACACCUGUGUCCGAAACUUCUCAGGGUAUGGAAGAAGCUGUGGAGGAACAGGCUGUGAGCAAUCAAGAUGCAUUACCGACUGCUGAGGAGGGAGCUUAUCCUGAUCAUCCAGAGUCACCUUCACAUGCACCUGAAAAUUUAACUGGUGAUGGUGACGUCUCAUCCAGUGCAAUGCCCGAGUAUAAUGAGUCCAAGCCAGAAACUGCAUUGCUUUCUCGGGGCCAGCAAUACUCUGUGGUACACACUUCUCCAAGCUACAGUUUUGGUUUUGUUCCUCCAAUGCUGAGUAGUCAGAUUGCACCAUUUGAAAACUCUGAAUCUCAAGCACGUGAUGUUUCUCGUCUUCCUAGCUUUGUAGUUCAACAACCAUUUGAUCCUGCAAGUUAUUAUGCCCAAUUUUACCGUUCGAGCGCUGACAGUGAUGGUCGUGUUUCUCCCUUUCCAUCAGCUGCAGUUGCUGCUAAAUACAAUGGGAAUGUUGCA